This 74-nucleotide transfer RNA is filed under the name Bacillus subtilis subsp. subtilis str. BSP1. RNAcentral describes it as "tRNA-Cys". Lineage: Bacteria; Bacillati; Bacillota; Bacilli; Caryophanales; Bacillaceae. The record is from RNAcentral.
CAAAGGCGGCGGCUGCAGCGGACUUUCUUACGGCAUGGGCUUUGAGCAUGAAAAGAGUGAAUCAGACAGUGUGU